CAGGUCGUCGCGCAGGGCCGCGGCGAGGCCGCGCUGCCAGCGGGGCAGGUUGAAGGCGAAGACGAUGUCGCCGGUGUUCGGGUCGACCAGGCCCGG
This 96-nucleotide transfer RNA is filed under the name Catellatospora methionotrophica. RNAcentral's name for it is "tRNA-Gly". The record is from RNAcentral. Lineage: Bacteria; Bacillati; Actinomycetota; Actinomycetes; Micromonosporales; Micromonosporaceae.